This is a non-coding RNA of Cronartium quercuum f. sp. fusiforme G11, 85 nucleotides long. The record is from the annotation of a GenBank genome assembly. NCBI's taxonomy places the organism in Eukaryota, Fungi, Basidiomycota, Pucciniomycetes, Pucciniales, Coleosporiaceae.
GGCUGCCUGGCCCAAUGGUUAAGGCGCCUGCCUACGAGGUUUCUGGCCGAGCAGGAGAUUCCAGGUUCGAGUCCUGGGGUGGUCG